This 253-nucleotide ribosomal RNA is filed under the name uncultured bacterium. RNAcentral describes it as "partial 16S ribosomal RNA". It matches the Rfam family "Bacterial small subunit ribosomal RNA", at positions 524 to 776 of the family's 1533-position model. The record is from RNAcentral.
UACGUAGGUGGCGAGCGUUGUCCGGAUUUACUGGGCGUAAAGAGCGCGCAGGCGGUCGGCCAAGUCGAGUGUGAAAGCCCCCGGCUCAACUGGGGAGGGUCACUUGAUACUGGUCGACUCGAAGGCGGGAGAGGGAAGUGGAAUUCCCGGUGUAGUGGUGAAAUGCGUAGAUAUCGGGAGGAACACCAGUGGCGAAGGCGGCUUCCUGGCCCGUUCUUGACGCUGAGGCGCGAAAGCUAGGGGAGCAAACGGG